AGCAGCCGCGGUAAUUCCAGCUCCAAUAGCGUAUAUUAAAGUUGUUGCAGUUAAAAAGCUCGUAGUUGAAUUUCGGGAUCAGUUCGCUGGUCGUGCCUUGGUAUGUACUGGUGUUACUGGUUCCUACCUUCUGACGAACCGUCAUGUCAUUAAUUUGGUGUGGCGGGGAAUCAGGACUGUUACUUUGAAAAAUUAGAGUGUUUAAAGCAGGCUCGCGCUUGAAUACAUUAGCAUGGAAUAAUGAAAUAGGACGUUCGAUCCUAUUUUGUUGGUUUCUAGGAUUGACGUAAUGAUUAAUAGGGAUAGUUGGGGGCAUUAGUAUUCAAUUGUCAGAGGUGAAAUUCUUGGAUUUAUUGAAGACUAACUACUGCGAAAGCAUUUGCCAAGGAUGUUUUCAUUAAUCAAGAACGAAAGUUAGGGGAUCGAAGACGAUCAGAUACCGUCGUAGUCUUAACCAUAAACUAUGCCGACUAGGGAUCGGAUGAUGUUAAUUUUUUAAUGUACUCAUUUC
RNAcentral lists this small RNA (511 nucleotides) under uncultured Glomus. RNAcentral describes it as "SSU rRNA". It matches the Rfam family "Eukaryotic small subunit ribosomal RNA", at positions 569 to 1086 of the family's 1831-position model. The record is from RNAcentral. Lineage: Eukaryota; Fungi; Glomeromycota; Glomeromycetes; Glomerales; Glomeraceae.